GACGAACGCUGGCGGCGUGCCUAAUACAUGCAAGUCGAACGCAGUGGGGACGGGUGAGUAACACGUGGGUAACCUCCCAUCAGAGGGGAUAACACUUGGAAACAGGUGCUAAACCGAUACUGAUGGAUGGACCCGCGGUGCAUUAGCUAGUUGGUGAGGUAACGGCUCACCAAGGCCACGAUGCAUAGCCGACUUGAUGGGGUGACGGGCCACACGGGGAUUGAGACACGGCCCAGACUCCUACGGGAGGCAGCAGUAGGGAAUCUCCGGCAAUGGCCGAAAGUCUGACCGAGCAACGCCGCGUGAGUGAAGAAGGUUUUCGGAUCGUAAAACUCUGUUAUUAGGGAAGCGGUACCUAACCAGAAAGCCACGGCUAACUACGUGCCAGCAGCCGCGGUAAUUC
This 403-nucleotide ribosomal RNA is filed under the name uncultured bacterium. RNAcentral's name for it is "partial 16S ribosomal RNA". It matches the Rfam family "Bacterial small subunit ribosomal RNA", at positions 28 to 526 of the family's 1533-position model. The record is from RNAcentral.